AGUGAACGCUGGCGGUAGGCCUAAUACAUGCAAGUCGAACGGCAGCACAGUAAGAGCUUGCUCUUACGGGUGGCGACUGGCGGACGGGUAAGGAAUACAUAGGAAUCUACUUUUUCUUGGGGGAUAACGUAGGGAAACUUACGCUAAUACCGCAUACUACCUACGGGUGAAAUCAGAGGAUCUUCGGACCUUGCGCGAUUGAAUGAGCCGAUGUCGGAUUAGCUAGUUGGCGGGGUAAAGGCCCACCAAGGCGACGAUCCGUAGCUGGUCUGAGAGGAUGAUCAGCCACACUGGAACUGAGACACGGUCCAGACUCCUACGGGAGGCAGCAGUGGGGAAUAUUGGACAAUGGGCGCAAGCCUGAUCCAGCCAUACCGCGUGGGUGAAGAAGGACUUCGGGUUGUAAAGCCCUUUUGUUGGGAAAGAAAAGCAGCAGGUUAAUACCCCGCUGUUCUGACGGUACCCAAAGAAUAAGCACCGGCUAACUUCGUG
RNAcentral lists this ribosomal RNA (492 nucleotides) under uncultured bacterium. RNAcentral describes it as "partial 16S ribosomal RNA". It matches the Rfam family "Bacterial small subunit ribosomal RNA", at positions 29 to 507 of the family's 1533-position model. The record is from RNAcentral.